Molecule: ribosomal RNA, 460 nt
Filed under: uncultured bacterium
Lineage: Bacteria
Description: partial 16S ribosomal RNA
Rfam family: Bacterial small subunit ribosomal RNA
Source: RNAcentral
CCUACGGGAGGCUGCAGUGAGGAAUAUUGGUCAAUGGACGAGAGUCUGAACCAGCCAAGUCGCGUGAAGGAUGACUGCCCUAUGGGUUGUAAACUUCUUUUAUAUGGGAGUAAAAUGUUCCACGUGUGGGCUUUUGUAUGUACCAUAUGAAUAAGGAUCGGCUAACUCCGUGCCAGCAGCCGCGGUAAUCCGGAGGAUCCGGGCGUGAUCCGGUUUUUUUGGGUUGAAAGGGAGCGUAGGGGGGUUGUUAAUUGAGUUGUGAAAGUUUGUGGCUCAACCGGAAAAUUGCAGUUGAAACUGGCAGUCUUGAGUACAGUAGAGGUGUGCGGAAUUCGUGGUGUAGCGGUGAAAUGCUUAGAUAUCACGAAGAACCCCGAUUGCGAAGGCAGCUCACUGGACUGCAACUGACACUGAGGCUCGAAAGUGUGGGUAUCAAACAGGAUUAGAUACCCUUGUAGUC